This is a non-coding RNA of Mycena rebaudengoi, 91 nucleotides long. Lineage: Eukaryota; Fungi; Basidiomycota; Agaricomycetes; Agaricales; Mycenaceae. The record is from the annotation of a GenBank genome assembly.
GACUCGAUGGCGGGAUGGGUCCGCAUCUGCAUUAUUUGCCGGUUGCAUGGAAUCUUCGCAGAAGGUGCCUGUUCGAAUCAGGCUCGAGUCU